RNAcentral lists this ribosomal RNA (447 nucleotides) under uncultured bacterium. Its description in RNAcentral is "bacterial SSU rRNA". It matches the Rfam family "Bacterial small subunit ribosomal RNA", at positions 329 to 793 of the family's 1533-position model. The record is from RNAcentral.
UUCCAGACUCCUACGGGAGGCAGCAGUGGGGAAUAUUGCACAAUGGGGGAAACCCUGAUGCAGCGACGCCGCGUGAGCGAUGAAGUAUUUCGGUAUGUAAAGCUCUAUCAGCAGGGAAGAAGAUGACGGUACCUGACUAAGAAGCCCCGGCUAACUACGUGCCAGCAGCCGCGGUAAUACGUAGGGGGCAAGCGUUAUCCGGAUUUACUGGGUGUAAAGGGAGCGUAGACGGCGAUGCAAGCCAGAUGUGAAAGCCCGGGGCUCAACCCCGGGACUGCAUUUGGAACUGUGUGGCUGGAGUGUCGGAGAGGCAGGCGGAAUUCCUAGUGUAGCGGUGAAAUGCGUAGAUAUUAGGAGGAACACCAGUGGCGAAGGCGGCCUGCUGGACGAUGACUGACGUUGAGGCUCGAAAGCGUGGGGAGCGAACAGGAUUAGAUACCCCAGUAU